Molecule: ribosomal RNA, 253 nt
Filed under: uncultured bacterium
Lineage: Bacteria
Description: partial 16S ribosomal RNA
Rfam family: Bacterial small subunit ribosomal RNA
Source: RNAcentral
UACGUAGGGUGCAAACGUUGUUCGGAAUUACUGGGCGUAAAGCGUGUGUAGGCGGCUACAUAAGUCGGAUGUGAAAGCCCCGGGCUCAACCCGGGAAGUGCACUCGAUACUGCGUAGCUUGAGUCUCGGAGAGGUUGGUGGAAUUCUCGGUGUAGAGGUGAAAUUCGUAGAUAUCGAGAGGAACACCGGUGGCGAAGGCGGCCAACUGGACGAAGACUGACGCUGAGACACGAAAGCGUGGGGAGCAAACAGG